GUCCCCCUACGGGAGGCAGCAGUGGGGGAUAUUGCACAAUGGGGGGAACCCUGAUGCGGCGACGCCGCGUGGGUGAAGAAGUAUUUCGGUAUGUAAAGCCCUAUCGGCAGGGAAGAAAUUGGACGGUACCUGACUAAGAAGCCCUGGCUAACUACGUGCCAGCAGCCGCGGUAAUACGUAGGGGGCAAGCGUCAUCCGGAUUCACUGGGUGUAAAGGGAGCGUAGACGGCCAUGCAAGCCUGGAGGGAAGGCCCGGGGCCCCACCCCGGGACUGCUCUGGGAACUGUGCGGCUGG
This 295-nucleotide ribosomal RNA is filed under the name uncultured bacterium. RNAcentral describes it as "partial 16S ribosomal RNA". It matches the Rfam family "Bacterial small subunit ribosomal RNA", at positions 333 to 644 of the family's 1533-position model. The record is from RNAcentral.